UCUUGUCCCGUCUCGUCCCACACUGUCCCAUCCCAUCCCACUGUGUCCCACCUCUCCCUCACCGCAUCACAAUGCCAGUGCUGCCCCAUCCCCUGUCCCUUCCCCAGGGAGAAGCAUCAAGCAGAGACUCAACCAGCCUCCGAAUACGCCGAGCAGGACGAGGAGCGCCUGAAACACGAGGCUGAGGGCAUCCCGCGGAGCAGCGAGCAUGAGCGCAAGAACCCGGUGGCCUUGUACAUCCUCAAGGACAAGGACUCACCAGAGGCGGAGGAGGAUUCACCACCUGAACCCCGCGGCACUGUUGAACCGGGUUACACGAGCUCGCCAGUACCGGCAGCCGGUCGCUCUCCGGGACCUGUGGGACGUUCGACUCGUCGUUACCAUCGCUCGCCAGCUCGCUCGCCUGCCUCGACGCGGACGCACAGGUCGCCUCCGGGAUCGCCAGCACGUUCCCGUGGCGCCCCGCGGCUGCUGCGGACUGCUGGUGUCCACAUCAUCCGGGAGCAGGAGGAGGCCAACGCUGUGGAGAUUAGUGCCUGAGCAGGGGGGACAUGUGCGCGCUUCAGCGGCGGUGAGCGAGCGGGGACACCAGCAUGGCCCCACUCCUGCCACCGGGCAUCAUUCAGCUCGGUGUAAAGUCACUAAUUUGCUAUUGAUCCCACCCAGAGCUCCCCUCUUCCAUCCCCUGUCUUCCUGGGGCGUCGCUUUAAUGGCUUUCUCGCCGCGAUGAGUGUGCGGGGACUGCACAGAAAGCACACGUGUGUGCUGGGAGCAUGUGGAAGAGAGCGUGUGUACAGCACGCGGAGAGAGCGUGCGAGGGGGCACGUACAGAGCAUGCAGAGAGAACACGCAUGCAGCACGCAGAGAGGGCACGCACAGAGCAUACAGAGAGAACGUGCGGGUGCUGCGCAGCGAGAGCACUUGCAGAGCAUGCAAGAGGGCAUGAAGGCAGUGUGCAGAGCAAGCAUGCAUGGAGAAUGCAAGAAAGCAUGCACGGAGGGUGCAGAUAGAGUGUGCAAAGGAAACAUGCACAGAGAGAAUGUGCAUGGAGUGUGCAAGAGGAUGUGUAUGGAACAUGCAGAGAGAUUGUGAGCACAGGGUGUGGAGUUAGCAUGCAGGAAGCUUGCAGAGAGCAUGCACAAAAUGUGUGGAGAGAGCAUGCAUGUGCAGAUGGAUCAUGCACUGAGUACGCAAGAAGAUGUGCAGAGGGCAUGUGGAUAGAGCACGCCUGGAGCAUGCAGAGAGCGUGCACAAAGGGUGCAAGAGGGCAUGCACAAGUCUGCAGAGAGAAACACAUGGAACGUGCAGGGAGAGAUUGCACAGAGCUUACAGCUAAGACUGCAUGGGUUGCAUGGAGAGCCUGCACGUAGAGAAUGUGGAGGGAGAGUGCAUGGAGCGUGCAGUGUGCAUGGAGUGUGAAGACACGACUGCACACAGCAUUUGCACAUGCAUGUGCCAGCAUUGGGAGCACCCUCCAAGCGUGCACGGAGCGUGCAGAGAGUCUGUGCAGAGUGCACACAGACCGUGCAGAGAGCACGUGUGGACAGAGCGUGCAUGCAGAGCACUCCGGGAGAGCAUGCACGGAGUGUGAGAAGAGAGCACACGUGAAGCUUGCAAGAGAGCACGCAGAGAGUGUGUGAAGCAAGCACGUGUGUGGUGCUCACACAGGGCACACAAGGAGCACGCGGUGAGCGUGCAAAGAGCCUCCGGAAGGAGCACACGUGUGGCGCUUGCAGAGGGCACGCUCAGGGUGCGUGGAAGGGCACGCAUGAAGCGUGCAGCAAAGAACGCGCCCAGAGCAUGCCAAGAGCACGCAGGGAGCACGCGUCGAGCACGCCGAGCGGGUGCCCGCCUGCCAGCGCCGUGCCCACCUGCCGCAGCACCCAGCCCCACGCACGCAGGCGUGCAGCGGUGGCCAUGUUCAUGUGUGAGCUUGCCCAAGCGCGCACACAUGCAGGUGGCCUAAAUGGGGGGUCCCUCCUCCCCGCAGCUCCCCGGCCCGAGCGCUGCCCUUCUGCCAUGCCUGGAUUUUCUGUGAAAAUCCCCCAUUUUCGGGGCGCACGCCGUUGCCUCUCCCCCAGGCCUUCCCAGGAAAUAGAUUUAGGAUGAAAACUGGAGAGCGGCUAGCCCAGCAAGCAGGGCCCUGGGGUACCCGGGGUGGGUGCCAGGGCACCCCAGGGUGCUCAGGGUGCGCUACUAACCAAUAAACUAAACGUACUACCUGGCC
Athene cunicularia (burrowing owl) is the source of this 2227-nucleotide long non-coding RNA. RefSeq lists it as uncharacterized. NCBI's taxonomy places the organism in Eukaryota, Metazoa, Chordata, Aves, Strigiformes, Strigidae. The transcript is spliced from 3 exons. The record is from RefSeq and is a predicted model, not a curated record.